This 630-nucleotide long non-coding RNA is filed under the name Lactuca sativa (garden lettuce). RNAcentral describes it as "long non-coding RNA (LSAT_LNC000788)". Lineage: Eukaryota; Viridiplantae; Streptophyta; Magnoliopsida; Asterales; Asteraceae. The record is from RNAcentral.
AGAAGAUGAUUGUUAUUCCAACCCUAGUGGUCAUAUCGAAUUGAGUCUGACUACGACGAGUAUGUUACGUGGUUCCGAGAACCAAGUUCGAUGUAGCACCUGACUUAAGCCGGAAGAAUUAAUCAAAGCGAUCAGUAGAGGUAUUACGACGGUUGCUUGUAGCUAGAAAUGCUACCUUUUAAGAUGAGAUUAGAACAUGAAGGAAAGUAUAGUUUGUUCUGGAAGACUCUAAGAGACCUGAGUCUAAGCAUAGAAACAUAUGAUGAUAGGUCAUUAGAAUAUGACACAUCGUUCCAUUGUAGUAAUAAAUGAACUUAUCUUAAGUUCGUAUCCAGUGAGGAUCGAGAUUGUGACUUGAAGAUCAUAAUUUGGAGUCUAACGUGAGAUAGGGAGCAAGUGCAAGAUCGAGCACCGCUUGCAGUCAAGGAGUCCAAGAGUUAGAUACUCAUUCGAAGAAACCAGGAAGUUACGAUUAUUACCUAGGAUGAAGAGAUAACGUAUGGAGUCAUUAUAUUGUCCUGUUUCGUUAAUGAUUCCGGGACGAAAUCAUCCUAAGGGUGAGAUAAUUGUAACGCCCGUAGAUCCGGGCUAGUCAAUUUAGAGAUAAUAGGGGUCGAAAAUGACUUUUCU